AGAGUUUGAUCCUGGCUCAGGAUGAACGCUAGCGGCAGGCUUAACACAUGCAAGUCGAGGGGCAGCGGGGUAGCAAUACUGCCGGCGACCGGCGCACGGGUGCGUAACGCGUAUGUAAUCUGCCCGUAACAGGGGGAUAGCCCGGAGAAAUUCGGAUUAAUACCCCAUAGAAUUGCGAAAAGGCAUCUUUUUGCAAUUAAAGCUCAGGCGGUUACGGAUGAACAUGCGUGCCAUUAGUUAGUUGGUGAGGUAACGGCUCACCAAGGCGAUGAUGGCUAGGGGUUCUUAAAGGAUGAUCCCCCACACUGGCACUGAGACACGGACCAGACUCCUACGGGAGGCAGCAGUGAGGAAUAUUGGUCAAUGGGCGCAAGCCUGAACCAGCCAUGCCGCGUGCAGGACGACGGUCUUAUGGAUUGUAAACUGCUUUUAUACGAGAAGAAAUUACGUUACGUGUAAUGUAUUGACGGUAUCGUAUGAAUAAGGAUCGGCUAACUCCGUGCCAGCAGCCGCGGUAAUACGGAGGAUCCGAGCGUUAUCCGGAUUUAUUAGGUUUAAAGGGUGCGUAGGCGGGCGAAUAAGUCAGAGGUGAAAUCCUACAGCUUAACUGUAGAACAGCCUUUGAUACUGUUUGUCUUGAGUACAGUUGAGGCAGGCGGAAUGAGUAGUGUAGCGGUGAAAUGCUUAGAUAUUACUCAGAACUCCGAUUGCGAAGGCAGCUUGCUAAGCUGAAACUGACGCUGAGGCACGAAAGCGUGGGGAGCGAACAGGAUUAGAUACCCUGGUAGUCCACGCCGUAAACGAUGAUUACUCGUUGUGUGCGAUAUACUGCACGCGACUGAGCGAAAGCAUUAAGUAAUCCACCUGGGGAGUACGGCGGCAACGCUGAAACUCAAAGGAAUUGACGGGGGCCCGCACAAGCGGAGGAACAUGUGGUUUAAUUCGAUGAUACGCGAGGAACCUUACCCGGGCUUAAAUGUAGAAUGACCGAUGCCGAAAGGUGUCUUCUCUUCGGAGCAAUUUACAAGGUGCUGCAUGGUUGUCGUCAGCUCGUGCCGUGAGGUGUCGGGUUAAGUCCCAUAACGAGCGCAACCCUCGUGACUAGUUACUAACGGUUCGGCCGAGGACUCUAGUCAGACUGCCUUCGUAAGGAGGAGGAAGGUGAGGACGACGUCAAGUCAUCAUGGCCCUUACGGCUAGGGCGACACACGUGCUACAAUGGGCAGGACAAUGAGACGCAAUACCGCGAGGUGGAGCAAAUCUAUAAACCUGCUCUCAGUUCGGAUUGUAGUCUGCAACUCGACUACAUGAAGCUGGAAUCACUAGUAAUCGUAGAUCAGCCAUGCUACGGUGAAUACGUUCCCGGGUCUUGUACUCACCGCCCGUCACACCAUGGGAGUUGAUUUCACCCGAAGCGGGGAAGCUAAACUGGCUACCCUCCACGGUGGAAUCAGCGACUGGGGUGAAGUCGUAACAAGGUAACC
Molecule: ribosomal RNA, 1484 nt
Filed under: uncultured bacterium
Lineage: Bacteria
Description: bacterial SSU rRNA
Rfam family: Bacterial small subunit ribosomal RNA
Source: RNAcentral